RNAcentral lists this ribosomal RNA (428 nucleotides) under uncultured beta proteobacterium. RNAcentral's name for it is "bacterial SSU rRNA". It matches the Rfam family "Bacterial small subunit ribosomal RNA", at positions 355 to 774 of the family's 1533-position model. The record is from RNAcentral. Lineage: Bacteria; Pseudomonadati; Pseudomonadota; Betaproteobacteria.
UGGGGAAUUUUGGACAAUGGGGGAAACCCUGAUCCAGCCAUGCCGCGUGAGUGAAGAAGGCCUUCGGGUUGUAAAGCUCUUUUGGCCGGAAAGAAAAGGCCACGGAUAAUACCCGUGGUUCUUGACGGUACCGGCAGAAUAAGCACCGGCUAACUACGUGCCAGCAGCCGCGGUAAUACGUAGGGUGCGAGCGUUAAUCGGAAUUACUGGGCGUAAAGCGUGCGUAGGCGGUCCCGCAAGUCCGCUGUGAAAGCCCCGGGCUCAACCUGGGAACUGCAGUGGAAACUAUGGGACUUGAAUCCGGCAGAGGGGGGUGGAAUGCCACGUGUAGCAGUGAAAUGCGUAGAGAUGUGGCGGAACACCGAUGGCGAAGGCAGCCCCCUGGGCUGAGAUUGACGCUCAGGCACGAAAAGCGUGGGGAGCAAACA